CCUACGGGCGACAGCAGUGAGGAAUAUUGGUCAAUGGACGAGAGUCUGAACCAGCCAAGUAGCGUGAAGGAUGACUGCCCUAUGGGUUGUAAACUUCUUUUAUAUGGGAAUAAAAUGUUCCACGUGUGGGUUUUUGUAUGUACCAUAUGAAUAAGGAUCGGCUAACUCCGUGCCAGCAGCCGCGGUAAUACGGAGGAUCCGAGCGUUAUCCGGAUUUAUUGGGUUUAAAGGGAGCGUAGGUGGAUUGUUAAGUCAGUGGUAAAAUUGGGGGGCUCAACCCAUUCCCGCCAUUGAAACUGGCGCUCGUGAGUGGAAGAGAAGUAUGCGGAAUGCGUGGUGUAGCGGUGAAAUGCAUAGAUAUCACGCAGAACCCCGAUUGCGAAGGCAGCAUGCCGGCUUCCGACUGACGCUGAAGCACGAAAGCGUGGGGAUCGAACAGGAUUAGAUACCCGUGUAGUC
Molecule: ribosomal RNA, 459 nt
Filed under: uncultured bacterium
Lineage: Bacteria
Description: partial 16S ribosomal RNA
Rfam family: Bacterial small subunit ribosomal RNA
Source: RNAcentral